RNAcentral lists this non-coding RNA (150 nucleotides) under Citricoccus sp. K5. RNAcentral's name for it is "ALIL". It matches the Rfam family "ALIL pseudoknot". The record is from RNAcentral. Lineage: Bacteria; Bacillati; Actinomycetota; Actinomycetes; Micrococcales; Micrococcaceae.
UGCUUCUUUCUUCGGGGCGGAGCUCGACCGCCAACACAAGAGAUAGUCGCCUUCAUCGACGCCAACCGGCACGAGUUCUUCGAUGGCCACAAGCUCGGAGUCGAGCCCAUCUGCACCGCCCUGCGCCAAGCAGGAGUGCAGGUGGCUCCG